CGUAGGUGAACUGCGGAAGGAUCAUUAAA
RNAcentral lists this ribosomal RNA (29 nucleotides) under Otidea sp. RNAcentral's name for it is "partial 18S ribosomal RNA". Lineage: Eukaryota; Fungi; Ascomycota; Pezizomycetes; Pezizales; Pyronemataceae. The record is from RNAcentral.